AUAAUAGAUUUUAAUUUCUACACUUCUACAGUGACACAUUAAUACAUAAUUAUUAUAUCUGUAAUUGAAACAACUAUCAAUACUAAUAGGAUACUCGAUUAGAUUCAAAGACUUGGGUCCAAACUCCAUUUCUUGUCCAUUUGUCCCAAACAUUUAUAUGCAAAAAAAGGAAAUAAAUGAUGUAUUAACUUCUGGGGUUAAUAUGUAUCUUAUUUCGGUGUUCCUCCAGGUAGAAGUGUUUGCUGAACUCUGAGAAGUUUUAGCCGGAACCCGACCUGCUUUGCGCAACAAGACGACAGUGUUCAAAUCUCUGGGAAUGGGGAUACAAGAUGCGGUCGCUGCUAAGCUCGUGUUUGACAAGUGGAAAAGCAGCCAGUGACGUAACGAAUCACCAUCUGCCACACAGAAAACAACUCGAAUUUCAAGAACAGAACACAAGACAUGAAGUAAAAUCUGUUUUAACAGAUAAAAUGAACUGAUUAACACUUGUAUGAAAUCACUAAAGCAUGGAACAAAAGACACUGAUUUUCAUUUGCACAGAAUAAUAUUCAUAAGUUGUAGUUGGAAGAUGGAAGAAAACAAUAAAAACGGGACCCUAAAAGUUUCACACCUUCUUGGGAGGGGCUCUCGACUUCUUUUUAGUGCACGAGUCACUUCCUGUGGUCUACUCUUCAGUAAAUGGAUGUGAACGGCAAGAUCUUUCUCCACCUCCUAUUCAGGCUUAAUACAAUGCUGCGUCGGAAUAAAAACGUAAUCCUUCACGAUGAAUGCGUGAGUCAAUGCAAACAAAAGCCAAAUUCGGUUGUGUACUUUGGAGUGCUCCAUCACAGAGAGGCGCUUUCUCCCCUCCCGCUCCAGUGUAACAUUACUGAACAAUAUUUGACCCAAAUAUGUACACUAAAUAAUGAAUAAAAAGGAAUGUUUCCCAAAAUUUCCCCUUUGGGAUCAUUUAAGUGCUAUUGGUCCGUCAGUAACUUCUUAAUUGAAGGGUUUGACCUUAAAUCUGGGUUACAGUUACAU
Long non-coding RNA from Silurus meridionalis, 1020 nucleotides. RefSeq lists it as uncharacterized. The transcript has 2 exons. The record is from RefSeq and is a predicted model, not a curated record. Lineage: Eukaryota; Metazoa; Chordata; Actinopteri; Siluriformes; Siluridae.